Molecule: ribosomal RNA, 232 nt
Filed under: uncultured bacterium
Lineage: Bacteria
Description: partial 16S ribosomal RNA
Rfam family: Bacterial small subunit ribosomal RNA
Source: RNAcentral
CGGACGGGUGAGUAAUGUCUGGGAAACUGCCCGAUGGAGGGGGAUAACUACUGGAAACGGUAGCUAAUACCGCAUAACGUCGCAAGACCAAAGAGGGGGACCUUCGGGCCUCGCGCCAUCAGAUGAACCCAUAUGGGAUUAGCUAGUAGGUAAGGUAACGGCUUACCUAGGCGACGAUCCCUAGCUGGUCUGAGAGGAUGAUCAGCCACACUGGGACUGAGACACGGCCCAG